GGACACAUGAACAUCGACAUUUCGAACGCACAUUGCGGUCCACGGAUACAAUUCCCGGACCACGCCUGGCUGAGGGUCGUU
Molecule: ribosomal RNA, 81 nt
Filed under: Diadegma mollipla
Lineage: Eukaryota; Metazoa; Arthropoda; Insecta; Hymenoptera; Ichneumonidae
Description: partial 5.8S ribosomal RNA
Source: RNAcentral